This 253-nucleotide ribosomal RNA is filed under the name uncultured bacterium. Its description in RNAcentral is "partial 16S ribosomal RNA". It matches the Rfam family "Bacterial small subunit ribosomal RNA", at positions 524 to 776 of the family's 1533-position model. The record is from RNAcentral.
UACGAAGGGGGCUAGCGUUGCUCGGAAUCACUGGGCGUAAAGCGCACGUAGGCGGCUUUCUAAGUCAGGGGUGAAAUCCUGGAGCUCAACUCCAGAACUGCCUUCGAUACUGAAGAUCUCGAGACCGGAAGAGGUAAGUGGAACUGCGAGUGUAGAGGUGAAAUUCGUAGAUAUUCGCAAGAACACCAGUGGCGAAGGCGGCUUACUGGUCCGGUUCUGACGCUGAGGCGCGAAAGCGUGGGGAGCAAACAGG